RNAcentral lists this ribosomal RNA (1779 nucleotides) under Caudiholosticha sp. 1 KX-2017. Its description in RNAcentral is "partial 28S ribosomal RNA". It matches the Rfam family "Eukaryotic large subunit ribosomal RNA", at positions 49 to 1814 of the family's 3401-position model. Lineage: Eukaryota; Ciliophora; Spirotrichea; Urostylida; Urostylidae. The record is from RNAcentral.
AGCGGAGGAAAAGAAAUCAACUGAGAUUGCCUCAGUAACGGCGAGUGAAGCGGCAAGAGCCCAUAAUGUAAAUCUCCACGCUCUGGUGUGGCGAGUUGUACAGUGUAGGGAGGUUGCUCAACCGACGCGGGCGCAGAACUGCCUUAGAACAGGCGGCCAGAGAGGGUGACAGCCCCGUAUGUGGUGCCAGCGUCGAACGAGUGGCUUUUUCUGAGAGUCGGGUUGUUUUGUAUUGCAGCCCUAAGCGGGAGAUAAACUUCUUCUAAGGCUAAAUAUUUACGGGAAACCGAUAGCGAACAAGUACUGUGAAGGAAAGAUGAAAAGCACUUUGAAAAGAGAGUCAAAAGACUUGAAAUCGUUGAGAAGGAAGCGGAUGAUCGUUGAUCAAUGGGCAGUGAACGGUGGUUUCUAUCUAAGUACGGCUUGGUUCAGGCACGUUAAUGGCCGGGCUGGGUCUGUGCGGAAAUGGAGGCUUUGUUCACUGUUUCUGAGGCAAAAUGGGGUUGCUUCGACUCAAAAGCCUGCCAGGGCUGCCCUGAUUCGUCGGGGACUCUGGUGGUGCUGGAGGCGGAGUGGCUCGAGGAGCUUCGUGCGAUUUUGCCAAAAUGCGAUUAUCCGACCCGUCUUGAAACACGGACCAAGGAGUCUAACAAGUAUGCGAGUAUGGUGGUGGAGAAACCAACAUGCAUAACCAACGUGAUCGAUGCCAAGCGCAAGCAGCAGCAUCGGCCGACCAUGAUUCUUUGAUGAAAGGUUCGAGCAAGAGCAUACCUGUUAGGACCCGAAAGAUGGUGAACUAUGCCUGAGCAGGGUGAAGCCAGGGGAAACUCUGGUGGAAGCUCGUAGCGUUACUGACGUGCAAAUCGUUCGUCUGACUUGGGUAUAGGGGCGAAAGACUAAUCGAACCAUCUAGUAGCUGGUUCCCUCCGAAGUUUCCCUCAGGAUAGCAAGGACAAUAAUGCAGUUUUAUCAGGUAAAGCGAAUGAUUAGAGGCCUCGGGGAUCCAGUAUCCUCGACCUAUUCUCAAACUUUAAAUUGGUAAGAACUCUGGCCUUCCUUAAUUGAGGCGCAGAGGCUCAAUGCGUGUCCUUAGUGGGCCAUUUUUGGUAAGCAGAACUGGCGAUGAGGGCUGCUCCUAACGUCGAGUUAAGGUGCCUAACUGCACGCUCAUCAGACACUACAAAGGGUGUUGGUUCAUACAGACAGCAGGACGGUGGCCAUGGAAGUCGGAACCCGCUAAGGAGUGUGUAACAACUCACCUGCCGAAUGAACUAGCCCCGAAAAUUGAUGGCGCUUAAGCGUGUGACCGAUACUCGACCAUUGCGGCGAGAGUGAUGCUGCAAUGAGUAGGAGGGCGUGAGCGUUGUUGUGAAGCCUCUGACGUGAGUCUGGGUAGAACAGCGCUUAGUGCAGAUCUUGGUGGUAGUAGCAAUUAUUCAAAUGAGAACUUUGAAGGCCGAAGUGGAGAAGGUUUCCGUGAGAACAGCAAUUGGUCACGGGUGACUCGAUCCUAAGUGUCAGGGGAAACCCGUCGCACAGCAUUAUUUCAAUGCGUGGACGAAAGGGAAUGAGGUUAAUAUUCCUCAAGCUGGAUGUGGAUAUUGUAUGGUAACAUAAAUGAGCUCAGAGACGCCGGCGUGAGCCUCUGGAAGAGUUCUCUUUUCUUUUUAACAGGCUAGCGACCUUGAAAUUGGUUUACCCAGAGCUAAGGUUGCAUGCCUGGAAGAGCACCUCGCUUCUUGGGGUGUCAGGUGCGCUCACGACGGCCCUUGAAAAUCU